AGGCCGCCGCCCCGAAACCCUAGCCCGCCCGCCACGAUGAGAUCGCUCCGCGCGGCGCACUCCCUCGCCUCCCGCUCGCUCCUCCUCUCCGCGCGCGCUCCACGGCGCCACCGCCUCCCCCGCCGCCUCGGCCGCGGCCGCGGGCGGCGGCCGCUGGGGAACAACCCCCCGCCUCCGUCGCCGGCGCCGUCGUCGCGGGCGCUGCCGGGCGGGAUUGCCGGCGCGGUAUCCUUCUCCCUGACCUUCGCCACCGUGGCGGCCGCCGAGGUGCAGGACAAGGAGCGGCUGCCCGCGGAUCUGCUGCCGCACAACGUCGUGCUCUACCAGUACCAGGCCCGCCCCUUCUGCAACAAGGUCAUAGAUGCUCGGAGAUGAGAUUGGGAAGGGGGCGUACGGGCGCGUCUACAAGGGGCUCGACCUAGAGAACGGCGACUUCGUGGCCAUCAAGCAGGUCUCGCUCGAGAAAAUCCCGCAGGAGGAUCUCAACAUCGUCAUGGCAUGUUGACGAGGAUGAUCCAGUCCCAAUUGGCUCACCAGGAGAUACACAAUCGGUCGUGGCUUCUGACAUUGAACAUGUAAGCUCAGGGUUCUUUUCCUAAUAUGUUCAUUUCCUAAUACACAAAUAAGUGCAUCAGGAAGUGCACUUGAGAAGAAGUUGAAAGCAGUUGCAUCUACUGCUAAGAAGAGGAAGGGUGGAAGUCAGAAAGUUACUGCUUAGAUACUGUCAUCAAAUUACUGCAUAGUUACAUCAAAACUGCUUAGAUACUGUCUUAUGCAUCUGUGGAAGACAAUGCCUCUAAAACUGCAAAGUUAUGCAUCUGUGCAUGUUAGUACUGUAAUGUGACCACUGUGAUUUGUUAUUAGUACUGUAAUAUGACUUAUACCUUAACUUUGACCAAAU
Non-coding RNA from Lolium perenne, 901 nucleotides. The record is from RefSeq and is a predicted model, not a curated record. NCBI's taxonomy places the organism in Eukaryota, Viridiplantae, Streptophyta, Magnoliopsida, Poales, Poaceae.